Long non-coding RNA from Drosophila biarmipes, 434 nucleotides. RefSeq lists it as uncharacterized. NCBI's taxonomy places the organism in Eukaryota, Metazoa, Arthropoda, Insecta, Diptera, Drosophilidae. The record is from RefSeq and is a predicted model, not a curated record. The transcript has 2 exons.
CGCAUCGCUAAAAGUGUCAAAUUGGCAAAAGUGGACUUGGACCUGAAGGAGGAAGCAGAAACAAAAACAGAAACGUUCUAAAACAAACUUUUGAUGCCCUCCGUGCCGACUGAGUAAAGCGGCGCGUGAGGCUGGAGCGAAUCUUUUCCCUGGCAACUUUUGCAAAUGAGGCAGCCAUUCGGCAAACGCCACAUAAAUAAACUGGGGAUGAGAGGCCUAAUUGAAAUCAGCGUUGCGAGAGUAAGCGAGAAAUACAUAAAUAAUCGGACGGGAUCGCAGCAGCUCUGCCACAAAAUUAGUUCAUUAAAGAAGUUCAGGCGGAAUUUGCAUACGAGCCGGAAAAAGCGAAAACGAAAGCCCCCUGAAAAGCCCCAAAAAUGAAACGCAUAAAAAGCGAAAAAUAAAUGUAAAUUAAAGUAAACAAUGCAAAGAGA